GGCUGCCCUGAGAGCAGCAGCUGCCCAGCAGCUGAUAGGACACAUGAUGGAGAAUUGAAGCCAGAGAAGAGCAGGAGGCUUGGACUGCCCGCCCUGCUAGGCUGCUGGAGAGAGAUCUGUCUCAGACCAGUUCUCUUCUAGAAACAGAGGUACCAUUGGGCCUUGAGAGAGCAGCAGAGGCAGU
This is a non-coding RNA of Chelonoidis abingdonii (Abingdon island giant tortoise), 184 nucleotides long. Lineage: Eukaryota; Metazoa; Chordata; Testudines; Testudinidae. The record is from RefSeq and is a predicted model, not a curated record.